Molecule: long non-coding RNA, 3537 nt
Filed under: Triticum aestivum (bread wheat)
Lineage: Eukaryota; Viridiplantae; Streptophyta; Magnoliopsida; Poales; Poaceae
Description: long non-coding RNA (TAES_LNC002402)
Source: RNAcentral
AAUUAUUUGAUUUAUUUUUCUAAGAUGCACUACAUUCAUUCGUUAGCUGUUUGAGAGACCGAUUUGUCCAAGUAGAAAUCAGGUAAUAUCUAUGUGAUAUUUAGUAUCCAAGUUAUAGAAAAUAUCCAAGGUAAACAUGCAUUGACUAGGCCGUACUGAGCGCGAGGAUGGCGAAGACUGCUGCUGACCGCUCUCAUGGUGGUAGGGCACCAACACUAGAGGUGGAUUGGUCCAGAUCAGGUGCCGUCUUGGACAUCGUCCUCAUCCCCAUCUCCACUGGUAGAGCUCAAAGCCCUUGGUUACUUCCUUCUGUCCAACACAAUAGUGCAGUAUAUGAUAGUAAUCAGAUUGAUGUGUGAUAUAUAGGAACAACUUACUCGAGCAUGAUACACCAAAUUAUAUAUUGUGUCUUUUUUAGCUGCACCAUCAACGGGCAAUGGCUUCCUCUGAAUUUGCUUGCAGUGCAAUACGUCAGUAAUGGAGCAGGAAAAUGCGAUGCCAUCAUCCAGAACUCAAGAUAGGGUUGUCAGUGUUACUAAUUGGGGUGAGAAAUGUUAGAAAUUUUCCGACCAAACUCUUCUUAGAGGCAAGAUAACAUCCACGCAUCGGCAUUAUGCAUCCCGACUCAACAUCAACAGGUUAUGUUGAUGUGAUCCAGUCAUUCAUGCAGGCUCAGCAUCAGGUAAUUAGAUAUUUUCGCGCCCCUACUGUCCUACGUGCGCCCAUCUGACUGAGCAAUGCACCGGUAAGUACGUAACAGGCACAAUCUAUUUCUACAAGUAGUACAACAUAUGGUCGAUCUCUAGAAUAUACAUUAUUAUUUUCUUUGAUUAAUUAUUUCUUUCUUAAGUAUUGCACACAGCCAGAAGAUACGCGCUAUCCGUGACACAGGAGAUAGGAUAACGUCAUGGAAUUUUGGUAGACCGUAAGUUGUUUACCAGACGAGAUGAUAGAAGAUACAUAUAGAAGUGGGAAAUAUCAAGCACACACAAGUUAAGGUAUGCAACAGGUCUCUAUCGAUAAAAUACCUUUAAAAUAUAUAUAACUAAAGGUGAUAACCAAGCAACAAUGCUAAUAGAAAACAAUAAGAUCAAUAGGUUCCUCAAGUACACGUACAUAUCACGCAAUGAUGCGUGCUGAAGACUAUUUCAGUUCAAAAUGCACUUUCAAGAUCUCUGCAUCAAAAGGUUGCGUUUCCACCUGGAGAAUGAGCAACAAAUCAUUUUAACUGAUUAUACAGAUUUAACAAACAUCAUAAGGUAAGAAAGAGUGGGGAUAACAAAAUUUACACGGUGGAUGGAGACAAACAAGAUCCUGUGAAGCAAGAGAAUUAACAUAUGCAGAGUUCCCGUUAAAAUAGGUAUGGAAGGAAAAAGAGAAAAAGUGGGGCAAAACAAAGAAAGGAAGAUCCGUUGGAAGGAUAUAUUAUGCUCAUACAACAAAUGGUGAAAAAUACUACAUGAGAAUGCUACUUAACGCCCACAAAGGAUGCAUGUCUUUCAAAAGGAACCGUAAAUGGAGUUGUCCACACUUCAUACAUAUUUGCUUGCGAAGCACUAGGAUUUCAACGACAGAGUGGAUUGAGUGCAUAAAUGGGGCAUCAGACUGGGUGAUUGGCUACCAGCUAAGACAACUGUUCAAAAUUCUUAUGCCACUGAAGUCACAAGCCCAAAAAUAUUGUGGGGGACAUGCUGAGAAGUUCUAAGCAAACACAUGGAGUAUAGGUAGAGAAGACUCUUGAACUAUCCUACACUUUGACUAACAGAUACACAAAAGCAAGGAUACGCCUUGGUGAAAGUAGAUAAGCUCAUGAGACAAGCUGGACAGACAUUUAAGGAAUACCCCGGAAUACAACAUUCGAAUUCUUCUCAGAUAAAGGAACUUGGAAACAGACUGCACAAUGAAGAGAUGAAUUAUAACAAAGAGGAAUAAAAGAACAUCAUUCCAGGAUCUUUGGCAAUAUGAACUCUCAACAACUACAUGUGUUUAAUUCAGUAAUGGAAUCAAUGAACAAAAAUUUGGGAAAUAAUAUAUUUGUGGACGGCUAUGGCGGGAUCUGUAUGACAUACCUACGAAGGCAAUCACAGCAAAGUUGUGUUCCGAAGGAAAGAUAGUACUAGCAGUGAUGUCAUCUCAUAUUGCAGAGCUGCUUCUAUAGGGAGCACACUCGAGGUUCCACAUCCCCCUAUCCUUGCAGAAGAGUCAACAUGUUAAGGUUCCCACUUGACCUACUAAAAAAGACAUCACUUAUACUAUGGGAUGAAGGUCCAAUGGCAAACAAGAUAUGCUUUGAGGCGCUAGACAGAACUAAAGGUAGGACUAUAUCUGCCUAAACAAGUGUUCACAAAUGGAUAGCUAUAUGUAGCAUUAUCAAGAUUCACAAGAAGAUAUGGACAAUGUGUAGUGGUAAAUGAUGAAGAUAGCAAAGAGGAGGAUGUGUUCAAGAACAUUGUCUAUACUGAAAUAUUUUAAAGGUAUGGAAAAACAAAAACACUUUUAGUAUGAUUCUUAGAUAAGAAUAGGUACAUGAAAAAUUUGUACACUACAAACUAUCUUCAAAAUACAAAUUAAUAGCAUACCAAUGCUGACAUUAUAUGGCAGGACAAAUAUGGUCCAUGCUCUGUGUAAGUACUGGACACAUGCAACAACAUUUGAAGGAAAUAGUUAAUCAAUUCUAAACAUGUACACUAUAUUUUCUGAUAUUUGUGGCUUAAUAUAUAGUACAACACAAUAUAAAGAGCAUUUGUGCAUCAUUAUAAUUUGUAUGUACAAUGCGGUCAGACCUAUUUUACUACCCUGUUAUUAUAAAUACAAUUUUGUCUUUAGGAAAUAUUAAACUAGAGUUACACAAUUACACUGAUUAAUACAUAUAUUUGUUCAAUAUGAAUUGGGGUAAGGUUUAUUAUUUAUACAUGUUAAAUAUGAAUUGGGGUAAGGGGGGCUAAUACUGCCGAUUACGGUCCAAACCUGGAAAAAAGUGUAGGGGCAUAAGAAAAUAAAUAUUCUCCACUAACAGGUAGUACCUUAAUCACAUUAUAUUGGUAUAUACAAUCGUACAAACAUAAUAAAAGGUUAAUAAAAAAAGGGCAAUCAGGAAAAGGAGAAAGGGGGAACCUGUAGGUCGAAGAAAGUUGCCAAUGUGGAGGAUGACAACGAUGUGUCGGUCUGCCUCGACUGGGAACAACGACGAUGCGUCCGACUCGCGCGCUAGGGGAAGACAACGCUGCCGCCAUCCUCACGCUCAAGAUGGAUUCAAGCUGGCAGCGGAAGACAAGAUCCAAGCCCACAUCACCUGCGAGUCGAGCUGGGAGGUGCCUCAGUCGAGGACGAGCAAGCUAAAGAGAAGAAAUGAAGAGAGCAAACUGAUGGUAGCUGAGUUACCAGUCGGAUCUCAUCCGCUCGUAUGAAUUUUGGAAUGAGCGAGCGGAGAGAAGAAGGAAAGGAGAAAAGGGAUCGGGCAAGAGUAAGAUUUUUUAUUUGUAGGGAAGCAACAACAAUACGUCUCUUUUAGCGGUGCAAGAGCAACAUGCUCACAUG